This is a long non-coding RNA of Ahaetulla prasina, 2704 nucleotides long. RefSeq lists it as uncharacterized. The transcript is spliced from 3 exons. Lineage: Eukaryota; Metazoa; Chordata; Lepidosauria; Squamata; Colubridae. The record is from RefSeq and is a predicted model, not a curated record.
UGUGAAUUAUAAAUAUUUUCAUUCUUUUGAAAGCAUAGAUAGAAAACCUCAGAAAUGCUAAUGUUAUUUUAAAUAGAUUAGAUUAAUUGAAAAAAUAUAGGUUUAAAAUUUAUAUAAACAUACAAGACGUGCAUACAAGUUGACUAUAAUUUUGAUCAAACAUAGCAAGGUCCAUGAAAUGAGGAUUUGCAAAAAUGUUUGGACUAUAUGACCACAAUUGCUACCUUGUCAUUGAACAUGCUUAGUAGAGCUGAAAGUUUUCCAUAUAUUGUUUGCGGUGGAUGCAUUUUCUAUCAGUAUUAUUUUAUAUUCUGCUAUUGUUUAAAAUAUAUUCUAUCAACUGUACCGUUAUACUGAGAUUGGAAGUUAUAGUAUAUCUCAGUCAAUUUUAAAUUUUCUGCUUUUUAUAAAGUACCAACUCACUCCUUCCCUUUGUACCUUAUUUCACAAAUACACAAAUACAAUCAAAAAUGGAAAAUGGUUUGAAUGCCCCAGAAAUUAUACUGAUAAAUAUAUUUCUUCAGAUUAAUAUCCCCUCUAAAUAUAUCAUUACCAUUGCAGAUAAGGACAUUUAUCCUUUUUAAUUUAAAUGUUAGAAUUUUUUAGAAUUAAAAUGGAAUCCUGUAAAGUAGUUGAGUCAACAUAUCAAUAUAUCAGCAAAGAUAGAACAUUAAAAAUCAGAAAUACAAUGUUUACAUCAGAUCUUAAAUUGUAGAACAGACAUGGUUCAUCACACUAAAAACACAUUUAUUGGCUUAAUAUAAUAUUUGAACUUAGCCAUUGUGAUUUGUUUCGAAAUAUAUCUAAAUUCUUGUGAAGUGCCAUCAGGUUCAGAAACAAAAUAUUGGAUUUUAUAAUAUCUACACCCAGUUCACAAAUUGUGUUUUCCUGUAUAAUUAACUCCAAACCAACGGUUUUAUCCAAUAAUAUCCCAUCUAACUAAAGCCUUCAUUUAAAAGCAUGAGAGAUGGUGUAGAGGAAUAGAGGAGAGCACAGCUUCCUAAGAAUAUGAACUAAAUGGUGUCAGAAGGAAUAAUUUGUAUAAUUUUUGAAAUUAGAUGUGUCCAACCCAUAUGUACACACACAUAAAUAAACAAGACUUUGCUUAUUUUGCUUUGCUUAUCAUAAUCCAGUGAAAUUGAUGCUCUUUUAAACAUAGUAUUUCCUAUAAACCAUCAGAGACUGAAAUAUUCUGUUUCUAAAAAUGCUACGCUGAGUUUACAGCCUGUAAUGCAUAAUACAAAAGAGUUUUAGAUUGAUCAUGUACUUCAUUUCAUCUUUUAUAAUAUGGCUACAUAUCAGUGAUAUGUUGUUUCAGCAAUAUAUUUCAGGGGAAUACUUUAGAAGAAAUAAUUUUCAAAUUUCUUUAAAUAGAAUUUAUUUCCCAUUUAAUCCAAAAUAACACCUUUGUCACCUUUUUAAAAAAUCGUUCUAACAUCCUUUCUUCACAAAUCUGGUCUUUUUCUCAGGUUGAGAUCUAAAUUUUCCCUUUGCUUCCAAUAACCUCACUCUAAAAUGUAAGCUGAACCAUGAAGUAGAUGGGCAAAAUGCAAAACUGUGUAUUUUAAACAUAGUUAAAUUUUACUUAAUACUGUUAAUUCUCCAUAUAAUAUAACAUUUUUCAUAUAUUUGUCAUAUUUACAACAGUGGCAAGGCUCUAGGAACUACAGCUAAAUCGGGGGGGGCAGCUUUGUGUCUCAUUUUGAUACAAGUAUGUCUCUUAGUCAAAAUUAUUAGGCUAAUGCAUAUGAAAGCUAAGAACCUUUCUGUUAUCAUAUCACUAUUUUUGUUCUAUUGAUUCUUUAGAAACAGUUAAAGACUUCGUAAUUCCAAUCACCUUUUGGAAGAUUUUAAGAAUUGAACCACCAUUCCCAUCAAUCCCAGUCAACAUCUCCAUCUGGAAUAAUCAUGCACAGCAUUUGAAGGUGGGGAGAUCACCAGGCAUAUAUCCCCCAAAAUGGAUGCGUCUACCCGAAAAAAUUAAUCAAAGCUCAAACUGCCCUGGGAGCUGCUGAUCCAGUUCUACAGACGAAUUUCUGAGUCUGUCAUCUGCACCUCUAUAACUGUUUAGUUGGUUCUGCAACCCAACACAACAGACACAGACUUCAGAGGAUCAUUAGAACUGCAGAAAAAACAAUUGCUACCAACCUGCCUUCCAUUGAGGACCUAUAUACUGCGCAAGUCAAAAGGGGCUGUGAAAAUAUCUACAGACCCCUCACAUCCUGGACGUAAAUUGUUUCAACUUCUACCCUCAAAACGACGCACAUCAGAACAACUAGACACAAGGACAGUUUUUCCCCAAAUGCCAUCACUCUGCUUAACAACUAACUCCCACAAUACUGUCAAAUAAUUUAUUAAGACUGUAUUACUAUUAUUCUUCUCUUCCUUACUAGUAUCUAUCUCUUCCCAUUUAUUACUAUAACCAUGUUGCUUGUAUCUUUCAAUUUAUAUUGUUUUUAUUUGUUUCCUAGCACGAUUUGAUAGCUUAUUAGUAACCUUGACUAUCACUAAGUGUUGUAUCUUUUUAUUCUUGAUGAACGUAUUUUAUUCUCAUUUGUCCAUUGAGAGCAUAUACACCAAAGACAAAUUCCUUGUGUAUCCAAUUAUACAUGGCCAAUAAAGAAUUCUACUAGUCUUCUCAGAAUGCCUGUUUGAGGCAUUCACCAAAUGGGAUGAAGAACAGAAUAAUGCCAUCCCUUCCUCA